Molecule: long non-coding RNA, 583 nt
Organism: Xiphias gladius (swordfish)
Lineage: Eukaryota; Metazoa; Chordata; Actinopteri; Istiophoriformes; Xiphiidae
Exons: 3
Source: RefSeq, a predicted model, not a curated record
UAUCAUUGGAGACCAUGUCAUCGAGGGCCUGGAGCUCCUUCUGGAUUCUCUUCAGCUUCACAGCCUCUGCCUGAGUCUGUUUGGACCUGUGGAGAAAUACAAACUUUUGAGCUCUUUGACAGCCGGGGUCUGCUCCUCUGCAGCCGGCUGGUGGUUUUCAUUCAGCUUCGACUGCACUUCCACUUUGAUGGCCGGAGGUCCCUUCGGAGCUGCGGGCUGAGGCUCUUUCUGGGACGGCGGCUUGCCCGACGAGGGAAACAAUCACUCACUGUAAAACAAAUCGGGCAGGAUUUUUUUCUGUUUCAUUUUCUAAACCCGAGCUGUCCGUCCAGAAGAAACUGCUGUAGAGACAACGCCCGGCCUCCAUGCCGAACCAGUUGAGGAUCUGCUUUUUCGUUCUGCCGUGUCACUCUUUCUUAAAUUGCGGAUCAAAAUGGGCCAUCAGUCUGUGUCAGCCGGCUUCCCACAUGACAAGAAUAAAAAUGAGUCGUCGUUAGUUUGGGUCACAGCAGGACAAGAGAUGAAUCUGCAUGUUUCGUCCCCAAAGGGGGAAAAAAUCUGUCUCAACGUCGUCACUACACCA